AUACGGAGGGGGCUAGCGUUGUUCGGAAUUACUGGGCGUAAAGCGCGUGUAGGCGGAUCGUUAAGUCAGGGGUGAAAGCCCGGGGCUCAACCCCGGAACUGCCCUUGAUACUGGCGAUCUAGAGUCCGGAAGAGGUGGGCGGAAUUCCCGGUGUAGAGGUGAAAUUCGUAGAUAUCGGGAGGAACACCAGUGGCGAAGGCGGCUCACUGGUCCGGUACUGACGCUGAGACGCGAAAGCGUGGGGAACAAACAGGAUUAGAAACCCUAGUAGUCC
RNAcentral lists this ribosomal RNA (274 nucleotides) under uncultured bacterium. RNAcentral's name for it is "partial 16S ribosomal RNA". It matches the Rfam family "Bacterial small subunit ribosomal RNA", at positions 523 to 796 of the family's 1533-position model. The record is from RNAcentral.